GUUCGUAAGCGGUGCGGCAAGUUGGGAGUGAAAUCUCUGGGCUUAACCCAGAGACGGCUUCCAAAACUGCUGUGCUUGAGUGUGGGAGAGGCUCGUGGAAUUGCAGGUGUAGCGGUGAAAUGCGUAGAUAUCUGCAGGAACACCCGUGGCGAAAGCGGCGAGCUGGACCACUACUGACGCUGAAGAACGAAAGCUAGGGGAGCAAACAGGAUUAGAUACCCUGGUAGUCCUAGCCCUAAACGAUCAGGACUUGGGGUGCCACCCGUUCGGGUGGCGUCGCGGAGCUAACGCGUUAAGUCCUGCACCUGGGGAGUACGGUCCCAAGACUGAAACUCAAAGGAAUUGACGGGGGCCCCCACAAACGGUGGAACCUGGGGUUUAAUUCCACUCUACCCGAGGAACCUUACCUGGGCUCGAAUGCAAUUUGACCGUGGGUGAAAGCUCGUUUUGUAUCCAUACACAGAUUGUAAGGUGCUGCAUGGCUGUCGUCAGCUCGUGCCGUGAGGUGUUGGGUUAAGUCCCGCAACGAGCGCAACCCCCGUCACUAGUU
Molecule: ribosomal RNA, 550 nt
Filed under: uncultured bacterium
Lineage: Bacteria
Description: bacterial SSU rRNA
Rfam family: Bacterial small subunit ribosomal RNA
Source: RNAcentral